AUAUCCUCCCUAUGGUUUCGCACUUUUUCACUUUAGUACCCUGUAAUUUAAUGUGUAUCAGGUUAGUACCCUAUGGUUUCGUACUUUUAGUACCUUGUAGUUUCAAGUGUAUCAAAUUAGUACCCUGUGGUUUCAAUUUUUUCUUUUUAUUAUUUAUUUCGGGGUAUAUAAUUUAACGAAAUAUUAAACCACAUGGUACUAAAGUGAGAAACCACAUGAUACUAACUUGAUACACUUGAAACUAUAUGGUACUAAAGUAAAAAAGUGCGAAACCACAGGAUACUAACUUGAUACACUUUAAACCACAGGAUACUAAAGUAAGAAAGUGUGCAACCACGGGAAAGGUAUUUGAAGUUUCCCCCAUUUUUUUUAAAAAAAGGAGGUAGCAUGCUAUCCGUUUCGUUUAUUUCUUUUAUAAAUAAACUUAGCUGGAAAUGUGAUUCAACUAGGAUUCGUAUUUGAAAUCUCAAGUAUCAAUCACCAAGCUCUUUGCCAUUUGCGGCAGGAAUAGUCGGUUUCCUGUCGGUCCUUUUAAUUUGAGUGGCUUAUGCUUUUAU
RNAcentral lists this long non-coding RNA (557 nucleotides) under Ananas comosus (pineapple). Its description in RNAcentral is "long non-coding RNA (ACOM_LNC007657)". The record is from RNAcentral. Lineage: Eukaryota; Viridiplantae; Streptophyta; Magnoliopsida; Poales; Bromeliaceae.